UACAAACUUUUUCCGCGUAGAUAAUGAGCGAAAGGUCAUGCAAGUGCUUCGAGCUUCAAGGAUCUAAAGCAGACCCACCUGUCCCACGCCACUGCCCCGAGGGUCGCGGCGGGAGCAUCACCACGGGAGAGGCUGAUGCUGUUCCUGGCACGUGCCACGUUUGUGCAGUGCUCUGCGUGUGUUGCUUCACGCUGCGGCCGCACACAACAGCGACCCGGAAAGGAGGUACACACAGGAUGAAAAGAGGCUGAACAGAACGAGCCAUUGUGAGUCAAGUACACUGGACAGCGCUUCCGCCGUCCCUCUUGAGUCCCUGCACGCCGCCAGCCCCAGCAUCCAGCCAGCCAGCCCCAGCAUCCAACCAGCCAGCCUGCCAGCCUGCAGCCACGGCACCGUGGCACAGCGGAAGAGCCACGGUGAGGGUCGCCGCCCCUACACGGAAUUCUCACUUGUCCUCGGAUGUCCACACGACGUCGCCCAAACUUGUCAUGUCGGCGCCGCGAUGACUGAUUUCUUCACUCGAGGCUGUCAGUGAGGCGUGAAUCAUCUCCCUCCACCACCGCCACCUCCGUCAUCCCUGCUACCGCUACCGCCACCAACGCCGGCAAACAGGUACACAAGAGUUCCGUGGAGGAGAAAAUGUUAGCAAUCACACAGGAAUGAACGCGGUGCUUCAAGAGGUGGACCACUGAACUAAAAGAAAAUAAAGUCACAGAAAAAAAAAUGCCACUGAGAGGAAAGCAAAAAGAGGAAUGUGAGGGCCAGACCUUCACGCCCCAUCAUCCAUCGUGCACGGAGGAGGACAAGGACAGCUGCGCGUCUCCCUUACAGGCUGCGACACAGAUUAAACUAUUCCCCAGGAAGGGCCAAGGGAGAUACGCACACACCAUCAACCAAUCAGGGUCAAAUAAGCUGGUAGACAACUUGGCAAGUCACAGAACCCGCCAAAUUUGAUCUAAACAUUCAAAUUAGUGGCGCUGAAGAGUCUGAUUAAAUAAACGAUGGCCGUCUGUGCGGACCAAAAUGUGUUUGAUUAAAUAAACGAUGGCCGUUGUUUAAGGGUUAAUAAUAAUAAUAUAUUUAUAUAUUAUUAUUAUUAUUAUAUUAAUUCAAAUCCAAUCAGCUGCACUCUGACUGAUCAUGGCUUUCAAUUUGACAACUGGAAAAGCUAAAGGAAUCAAGUCAAAACCAAAAUAAGGAGAAAGAUACUUUUAAUUCAUUUUAGUUAUCUUAAAACUUUGCAUAGAAGCUACUCUUAAGAGUAACAGUAAUUCUCAUUGGUUUCCACUUGAGGAUCCUAUGAAUCCUUAAAAAGAUAAUUACUCUGCAAACCCUUCAUCUUUAAUUUAAAACAAACCGUUUAUAGCAGAAUAACAUGAAGCAACUUUUUAAGUGCUUACUAGAAUUAUGCUAAUAUUUUCACUAUUAUAACAACCUGUCAUUAGUAUGUAAACUUUCAAUGCAAUAACCACGGAAAAACAUUUUCAAAUAAACAUGCCAUGCUACACUUUCAAUAGUAAACUACCCUCAAACACCCCACAGGCCAUUAGUUAAGUUGGUGUAAGACAAAAACAAUGAAAUUAAGAUUUACUUUUGAGACCAAGUCAAAUUCUAUACUGAAAAUACAAACUGCAUAUUGCAAGAGGCUGCACUUCAGUAUAAUACAUCUGUGAGCACCAUAUUCAUCUGAAGUCCCCUUUCUGAUGUCAUGGUCAGCUGUCAUGUACUAAGAUGGCAGUGCUGUCUCAUCUAGCAUGCACACAAACCACUCCAUAAGUUCAUGUUAAAUUAUUAAUAUACAUUAAAGAAUGACAACCUCUUGUAGGAUGCAGAUUCAUUAUAGGCUACAAGAAACUACCAGCACUAUAUUACAUACAAAAUCCCAUUACUGGAAUAGAAAACCAUCAAAAUUUACCCUCCAAAUUAAUUCAUAUGGAAACCAUCCUUCUUGACUAUAUACAAGGUUCUCAUUUACAGCUCAAAACAUCAGUUAAUAAACAUCAUCUUCACAACAAACAUUUCCUGAGUUGCUAGACCUAGGAGUCAUUUCAGUGAUUGUCAUGUUUCCACUGGCUCUCAUCCUUUGUCACUUUUUUUACUCAUUCACGGCUCUCAUAUAUUCCAUUUCUCAUAGAGACAGUAUAAGGAAGUGGGAUUUUUGGUUGUAUUUUUUCCCAUGCAAGGAACAAUAUCCUUAGUUUAAAUAUUUUACUGGAUAAAGGUAAUUACUGAAGCUCCAUUAUUGCAGUUGCACUGUACUAGCCACAGACUGCAGUGAAGUCUGUGUUGUCAAAAUCCCACUUUACUAAUAAAAUUCCGUGUUGUCAAAAUCCCACUUUACUAAUAAAAUACCUAGCUGGUA
Long non-coding RNA from Eriocheir sinensis (Chinese mitten crab), 2362 nucleotides. RefSeq lists it as uncharacterized. The transcript has 6 exons. NCBI's taxonomy places the organism in Eukaryota, Metazoa, Arthropoda, Malacostraca, Decapoda, Varunidae. The record is from RefSeq and is a predicted model, not a curated record.